UGAUGACAACAUUAUUGAGAUCUCUCAUAUAUUCGUUCUUUUUAGUUUUGUUUUUCUUUUUUUUAAAGAAACUUUCUUUAAAAAGGGGAUACGCAGAAAACAUCUCAUGGGGAAAACUUAAAGUUUAGCCAUAAGUAUAAAUUAAAACAGAUUUGAGUAUUCAAAAACUGAAAAAAAAGGGCAGGCAUGACUUUUACUGGGUACCAAGAAAACCACGAUCAGGACCACAAUCAGAUUAAACAGUUGCUUUGGACAAAUCACAAAACUAAGUCCAAAUUACUAUUAUGUAAUCCAGGUGUUCUCGAUCCUAAUGACGCAUCAAAAAAGAAACCCACAAAUCUUUUAGAUACCUAUGCCAAACUCCCAAAGUACUGCUCUACAAAGAUGAGGCC
This 392-nucleotide long non-coding RNA is filed under the name Bos taurus (domestic cattle). RNAcentral's name for it is "long non-coding RNA NONBTAT011419". Lineage: Eukaryota; Metazoa; Chordata; Mammalia; Artiodactyla; Bovidae. The record is from RNAcentral.